UGAGAUGAUGAAAUGCACUGGGCUCUGAUUAACAUUUGAAGCAAAUGCAUUUGCCUAGAAAGCAUCGUCUGAUAC
This is a small nucleolar RNA of Dioscorea cayenensis subsp. rotundata (Guinea yam), 75 nucleotides long. NCBI's taxonomy places the organism in Eukaryota, Viridiplantae, Streptophyta, Magnoliopsida, Dioscoreales, Dioscoreaceae. The record is from RefSeq and is a predicted model, not a curated record.